GUCCUGACUGCAUGCACACGCUGU
This 24-nucleotide non-coding RNA is filed under the name Cricetulus griseus (Chinese hamster). Lineage: Eukaryota; Metazoa; Chordata; Mammalia; Rodentia; Cricetidae. The record is from RNAcentral.